This is a small nuclear RNA of Suncus etruscus (white-toothed pygmy shrew), 104 nucleotides long. Lineage: Eukaryota; Metazoa; Chordata; Mammalia; Eulipotyphla; Soricidae. The record is from RefSeq and is a predicted model, not a curated record.
GUGCUUGCUUUGGCAGCACAUAUACUAAAAUUGAAACCAUAUAGAGAUUAGCAUGGCCAUUAAAAAAGAUGGCAUGAAACUAUAUAUAUAUAUAUGUUCUUUAU